Molecule: ribosomal RNA, 513 nt
Filed under: uncultured bacterium
Lineage: Bacteria
Description: partial 16S ribosomal RNA
Rfam family: Bacterial small subunit ribosomal RNA
Source: RNAcentral
GACGAACGCUGGCGGCAUGCCUAAUACAUGCAAGUCGAGCGAACAGAUGAAGUGCUUGCACUUCUGACGUUAGCGGCGAACGGGUGAGUAACACGUAAGGAAUCUACCUAUAAGCGGGGGAUAACAUUCGGAAACGGGUGCUAAUACCGCAUAAUAUCUUCUUCCGCAUGGAAGAAGAUUGAAAGACGGCUCUGCUGUCACUUAUCGAUGACCUUGCGGUGCAUUAGUUAGUUGGUGGGGUAACGGCCUACCAAGACGAUGAUGCAUAGCCGACCUGAGAGGGUGAUCGGCCACAUUGGGACUGAGACACGGCCCAAACUCCUACGGGAGGCAGCAGUAGGGAAUCUUCCGCAAUGGGCGAAAGCCUGACGGAGCAAUGCCGCGUGAGUGAAGAAGGCCUUCGGGUCGUAAAACUCUGUUAUAAGAGAAGAACAAACUGUAGAGUAACUGCUACAGUCUUGACGGUAUCUUAUCAGAAAGCCACGGCUAACUACGUGCCAGCAGCCGCCGUAA